This 253-nucleotide ribosomal RNA is filed under the name uncultured bacterium. RNAcentral's name for it is "partial 16S ribosomal RNA". It matches the Rfam family "Bacterial small subunit ribosomal RNA", at positions 524 to 776 of the family's 1533-position model. The record is from RNAcentral.
UACGAAGGGUGCAAGCGUUACUCGGAAUUACUGGGCGUAAAGCGUGCGUAGGUGGUUCGUUAAGUCUGAUGUGAAAGCCCUGGGCUCAACCUGGGAAUGGCAUUGGAUACUGGCGACCUAGAGUGCGGUAGAGGGGUGUGGAAUUCCCGGUGUAGCAGUGAAAUGCGUAGAUAUCGGGAGGAACAUCUGUGGCGAAGGCGACACCCUGGACCAGCACUGACACUGAAGAACGAAAGCCAGGGGAGCAAACGGG